RNAcentral lists this ribosomal RNA (465 nucleotides) under uncultured bacterium. Its description in RNAcentral is "partial 16S ribosomal RNA". It matches the Rfam family "Bacterial small subunit ribosomal RNA", at positions 338 to 795 of the family's 1533-position model. The record is from RNAcentral.
CCUACGGGAGGCAGCAGUGGGGAAUAUUGCGCAAUGGGCGAAAGCCUGACGCAGCGACGCCGCGUGAGGGAUGAAGGUCUUCGGAUCGUAAACCUCUGUCAGCAGGGAAGAACGGUUACUGUGCUAAUCAGCAGUGAAUUGACGGUACCUGCAAAGGAAGCACCGGCUAACUCCGUGCCAGCCGCCGCGGUAAUACGGAGGGUCCGAGCGUUAAUCGGAAUUACUGGGCGUAAAGCGCUCGUAGGCGGUAUGUCAAGUCAAGGGUGAAAUCCCCGGGCUCAACGUGGGAACUGCCUUUGAAACUGGCAAACUGGAGUGUGUGUGAGGAUAGUGGAAUUCGAGGUGUAGGAGUGAAAUCCGUAGAUAUCUGGAGGAACAUCAGUGGCGAAGGCGACUAUCUGGCACAUAACUGACGCUGAGGAGCGAAAGCGUGGGUAGCAAACAGGAUUAGAUACCCCUGUAGUC